CCUACGGGGGGCAGCAGUGAGGAAUAUUGGUCAAUGGACGAGAGUCUGAACCAGCCAAGUAGCGUGAAGGAUGACUGCCCUAUGGGUUGUAAACUUCUUUUAUAUGGGAAUAAAACGUUCCACGUGUGGGAUUUUGUAUGUACCAUAUGAAUAAGGAUCGGCUAACUCCGUGCCCGCAGCCGCGGUAAUACGGAGGAUCCUAGCGUUAUCCGGAUUUAUUGGGUUUAAAGGGAGCGUAGGUGGAUUGUUAAGUCAGUUGGUAAAAUUUGCGGCUCAACCGUAAAAUUGCAGUUGAAACUGGCAGUCGUGAGUAGAGGAGAGGUGGGCGGAAUGCGUGGUGUAGCGGUGAAAUGCUUAGAUAUCACGAAGAACUCCGAUUGCGAAGGCAGUUCACUGGACUGCAACUGACACUGAGGCUCGAAAGUGUGGGUAUCAAACAGGAUUAGAUACCCGAGUAGUC
Molecule: ribosomal RNA, 460 nt
Filed under: uncultured bacterium
Lineage: Bacteria
Description: partial 16S ribosomal RNA
Rfam family: Bacterial small subunit ribosomal RNA
Source: RNAcentral